Molecule: non-coding RNA, 359 nt
Organism: Pseudonaja textilis
Lineage: Eukaryota; Metazoa; Chordata; Lepidosauria; Squamata; Elapidae
Source: RefSeq, a predicted model, not a curated record
CAUGUGGUGGCCGGCUGGAGAGGACAAGGAUGCCUGUGGCCAGCAAUGCCAGCAGUCAGAAAUCUCCUGCCUGAGCCAUGGAAGUUCCUUUGGACCUGGCUAGUUAGGCAAAGCUUCGCUUCUCCAUGGAAAGCUGUAAAAGAACCCCUUCUGGUUCUGAGCCAUAGCAGGGGCAGGAAGGCAGGAGAGCCCCCUCUGCUCUCUGCCCCCAAGAAGCAGCAGCCUCAUUUCCAGAAGUUUUGCUGUGAGAAAUAGCACUCAGCAGGCAACGGAGGGUGGGUGAGAGGGGAUUGGGCUGGGAGAUAGCAUGUGCAUCCCUUAGGAGACCCUCCCCAUGCCCCAGUAAGGCACUGAAGCAA